AUUGAACGCUGGCGGCAGGCCUAACACAUGCAAGUCGAACGAGUGGCGGACGGGUGAGUAAUGUUUGGGAAACUGCCUGAUGGAGGGGGCUAACUACUGGAAACGGUAGCUAAUACCGCAUACCAUCGGAUGUGCCCAGAGGGGAUUAGCUCGUAGGUGGGGUAAAGUCUCACCUAGGUGACGAUCCCUAGCUGGUCUGAGAGGCUGACCAGCCACACUGGAACUGAGACACGGUCCAGAAUCCUACGGGAGGCAGCAGAGGGGAAUAUUGCACAAUGGGCGCAAGCCGGAUGCAGCAAUGCCGCGUGGAUGAGGGAGGGCUUCGGGGUGUAAAGUACUUUCAGCGGAGAGGCGUUACCCGCAGAAGAAGCACCGGCUAACUCCGUGCCAGCAGCCGCGGUAAUAC
RNAcentral lists this ribosomal RNA (406 nucleotides) under uncultured bacterium. RNAcentral describes it as "partial 16S ribosomal RNA". It matches the Rfam family "Bacterial small subunit ribosomal RNA", at positions 29 to 526 of the family's 1533-position model. The record is from RNAcentral.